Molecule: long non-coding RNA, 615 nt
Filed under: Phascolarctos cinereus (koala)
Lineage: Eukaryota; Metazoa; Chordata; Mammalia; Diprotodontia; Phascolarctidae
Description: lncRNA (ENSPCIG00000031675.1)
Source: RNAcentral
UACUGCUCCUGGAGGCGGCUUUUGACUGGGUGCUCUAAUGCAGUGAAGCUCAGGCAGCAGGCAGGAGCGGCUGAGAACUCUGCAAGAGCCGCAGCCCCAGCAGCAGCAGCAGCAGCAGCAACAGCCACCGGGAGACCCAGCCCAGAGCCAUGCAUAGCAGGGCUUGGCAGAGGCAAAGGUUGGCUGCAAAGUUUGGGACCACACCUUCGAUGAUGAAGGCAAUUGGGAAGCAUAAUCCACCCAGGUGGACCUACAGGGAGUUUUGUUUCUUGAGACCAAAUCACCAGUGUGGAUCCAUUAAGAAGCUAGUGAUUUGGAGGAAUUCCCAGAUAUUCUUUCUUGGAUACCAUCUGUAAGUUCAAAAGUGGUGAUAGAGAUGAACAAAAUUUUCCUGUUCUGUCUGUGUUACCAGAACAUUGUUUUUUGACUUUACAUUAUUUUUUGUCAUUCUUCCCUGUUUCCACAACAUGUAUUUUCCUACUGAUCCUUGUUUCCUGAACUGUACACCUUGCUCUCCAUGUUAUCAGCCAAAAUCUCUUGGACGUUCACAGUGUGCCAAGCACAGUGCCUUUAUAGCAAAAUGAUAAAAUAAAGUAAAAUCAAAAAAUAGAGGCA